This 658-nucleotide ribosomal RNA is filed under the name uncultured fungus. Its description in RNAcentral is "eukaryotic LSU rRNA". It matches the Rfam family "Eukaryotic large subunit ribosomal RNA", at positions 23 to 664 of the family's 3401-position model. The record is from RNAcentral. Lineage: Eukaryota; Fungi.
ACCCGCUGAACUUAAGCAUAUCAAUAAGCGGAGGAAAAGAAACUAACAAGGAUUCCCCUAGUAACUGCGAGUGAAGCGGGAAAAGCUCAAAUUUGAAAUCUGGCGGUCCUUGGCCGUCCGAGUUGUAAUCUAGAGAAGUGUUACCCGCGCUGGACCAUGUACAAGUCUCCUGGAAUGGAGCGUCAUAGAGGGUGAGAAUCCCGUCUCUGACAUGGACUACCAGGGCUUUGUGGUAUGCUCUCAAAGAGUCGAGUUGUUUGGGAAUGCAGCUCAAAAUGGGUGGUAAAUUCCAUCUAAAGCUAAAUAUUGGCGAGAGACCGAUAGCGAACAAGUACCGUGAGGGAAAGAUGAAAAGAACUUUGGAAAGAGAGUUAAACAGUACGUGAAAUUGCUGAAAGGGAAACGCUUGAAGUCAGUCUCGUUGGCCGGGGAUCAGCCUCACAAUUUGUGUGGUGUACUUUCUGGUUGAUGGGUCAGCAUCAAUUUUGACUGUUGGAAAAAGGCUUGGGGAAUGUGACAGCUCUGGCUGUGUUAUAGCCCCUUGUCAUAUACAGCAGUUGGGAUUGAGGAACUCAGCACGCCGCAAGGCCGGGUUUCGACCACGUUCGUGCUUAGGAUGCUGGCAUAAUGGCUUUAAGCGACCCGUCUUGAAACACGG